GCCAAUGGGAAGGGUAGCGAAGUUACAGUUAAUUACCAUGUUUCUCUAUUAUUAGAUAGGUUAAUUUUGCUUCUGUCAUUCUCUUCCAUAGUUAUCUAGGUUAGAUUAAAAUGCUUCAUUUGUGCUCCAAAUAUAUGCUAAUGUCUUAAUUCAUUCAACAUGCUUUCAGCAACAAUUCAUGGUCUCCCCUGUGCUGGAUACUCUAUUAAAUGCUGAGCACCCAGAGGUAAACUUGCAGUCCCUCUCCUUCAUGAAUUGAGCUUUGUGGCGAACAGCUGAAGAUAGUCAAUGAUCUCAGUAGGGUAAAUUCUGCCAUAAAAUAAUGAACAUGGAGGUUGAGGGACAUAUUGUAAAGUGUUUCCAAAUAGAAUCUUCCAGCACCUACAUAUUCAUCCUGAAUAAUCCUCAGUGUCUGACACUGCUUAUUACUGUCCCUACCCACUUGCCUUCCUGUUUUUGCCCAAGUCUUUAUAUGUGUUGGAGUUCAUCUCCCUUAGUUAUAACCUUGAUUUAUCUCAAUUCUUACUUUGCUUUUUGCCUGUGCUACAUAGGUCAAUUUGAACAAUGUCUUUCCUGGAAUUAUUUUGCUUUGUUAUGAUUGUGUGGCUACAUCUUCACCAGGAUAAUCCUGGCUCAUUUCUUCCAACAUUGCAUUUUCAUUAUUUAUCUACUGGAAAGCAGACUUUUAGUUGUUGACAUAUCCAAUAAGUCCAUGUGGAGGGGUGUGUAGGAAACAUUUCUUCCAGAGGGAUCCUCUCGUGGGGAGUGCUGUAUUACAGCUUUACCUAAGACACACCCUGCCCUCAACAAACACUCCUCUUCACUGGUGUCUACUUAUCUCUGUUGAGGAUUUUCACAGUAUUUACAGUCAGGUUGCAAGAUGCUAACUAGAGGCACAACACCAACCAGGAGAGCAGCUGGCUUACUGUCAUGCAAGUCAGCAGGCACCUUCCACAACAUUGGAAGUCUAUGCAUUCCUGGCAUCCAGAUUGUUGUUGUUUUAAAUCUAAAUUAUAAGCAACCUUAUUUUUUACACAAAAGAAAUCAUACUGAACAUGUCCUCAAACUUUCUUUGUUCUCAGAUAAUUCAAAGACCUUUUGGUAUACCCCAGUGCUGCGACCUGCAAGGCUGGGCUCAGGAUCUGAAGGAGGGGCUGAUGCACAAAUGAAAAUGAUAUACAAGAAAUAUGAUUUUAGAAGGCAUUGGCGAAGAUGCCAGCUGAGUGAUCUGCUUUUAGUCAGCUAGAAACAACAUUAAUCCCCACUGAGACGAGUUCCUCCUAACACCACACUCUUCAAAGGUUCAUGGCUCUCCUGUGGUAGGGGGAUGAGCUCCCCAGUGCCCACAUGGCUCAUGGCCAAGUUGGACUCCACACAUGGACUAAUGGACUUUAAUUAGCUUGGAUGCUGAACCACACCCAGCCGCUGCAUUGAACGGAAGCUCUAGACACUGGCCUUCCUUCUGGUUGUGCUGAACUCCCAGCUGCCCCUCUUUUAGGACGAGCUUGGGGGAAAUGGGACAUUGGAAACUGAGGAAUGUAACUCCAUGCCAAUAAAACCUUCUACCACCUCUCA
Molecule: long non-coding RNA, 1575 nt
Organism: Myotis davidii
Lineage: Eukaryota; Metazoa; Chordata; Mammalia; Chiroptera; Vespertilionidae
Exons: 3
Source: RefSeq, a predicted model, not a curated record